UGGAAACUAUUUUUUAUUAAAGUAUAAUUUUAAACAUAUUAACAGCAAAAAUACACUAUUAUUUUAAUAAACAACUGAUAUGAAUGCAAUAUAUCCUAUUUACAUAACACAAAAUUCUGUUUAAACUAGAUUCAAAGCUAACUGGAAUUGAACAGAGUCAACAUACUCUAAACUAUAUACUAAGUAGUAUAUACAAUCAUUGUACAACCAGUGAACAUACAUAAGAAAUGAAGGGAAAUCUAGAACAUAAAAGAGGUCAAAAGAUACAAAAGGGACAUUCAAUAUUAAGUCACAAAAACACUGACAACCAUUUAGUAAAAAAUAAAGACAUACAACACUAUUAAAUGUCAUGCAAUGAUGAAAAAUAAUCAUAUUUUAGCAGAUCUAGAAAAUAUUUGAAGUAAAAGUCACUUUGUAUUGGACUGGUUUAAAGUAAAGCUGGUAUUGUUUUAAAUUGGACAUGUUGAAGAAGUAAAUAUUUGCAAACAAAUAUUGGUUAAAUGAUAAUAUUUCAUACAUUUGUACAUUGUAAACACAAUAACACGCAGCAUUAAUAAAAAAAAAAAACCACAGAUAGGACAAGAUACUCUCUUCAACACAGGAACUAAGUGUUUACACUGAAUAAUAAAGUGUAAAAAGUUAAAAAAAAAAAAGGGAAUAUAAUAGAAAGGAGGACACAACAAAAGAUCAACAGGUCUUUCUGAAAAUAGAUGAGCUAUUUUUCAUUGGAUGCUUAAUGAAUGAUCAUCAACAUCAUUGUACUAAAUUAUAAUUCCUGUACCUUCGAUAACCAAUUAAUCAUACAAAUCAUAAAAGCUGACACUUUACAUAUGUCCAAUUGAAUGGUAGACCACAAAAUAAAAUUCCAUUUUUCAGUAUAUGACAAUAAUUUAAUUUAUCUAAUAUUGUUUUGGUUAAUUGAUAACCCAUCAUGUAUGUUUUUAAGUAAUUUUGGAAGCUUUUAGUAAUUGAUAGUCUGUCUAUAUUGUCUGUUUGUGUGUUCAAAAUAUAUCCAGAAGCCAACUAGACUUUCUCUGGCUUGAUUUGAAUGAAACGUAGACAGAUGGUAAGACAAUGAAGAGGGGAAGGCCAACUGAAAUAAGGUUCAAUUUCUGUUUUCUUUUGGAGGGGUAAGUUUCCUGAUGGAAACUUGAGUUUCCCUUGCUGAGCGUUGUAUCAAAAUCUUUACAGAUGCCAGCUACUGUGAAUAAGAGGACCCCUGUUACCUACAUGUUAAUUUUAUAUUUGUGCAACCAAGCUAAAAAUGAACAGCUGAUAUACUGAUUCAGCAGCAAAGAUAAAUUGGGGUGUAAACAGUCCCUGUUCAUAAUAUCUUAACUAGUUACUCAAACUAAAUAUAAGUACACUUUCCACCAACAGCAAGUAUGUAAGUUCAGUAUAAAGACUAACAGAAUUUCCAAAUAAUCAAUAUUCUAUCUAAAAAUCUAGCAUCACUAUUUUAGGUAUGAUAUGAAAAAUAGUUUUGAAUAUUGUAGUAUUGUUUUGUGAUUGGUUAACAUGUAAAUUGUAACUUCUAAUGAUUGGUUUAACUACUCAAGUGUAAGCACUAUUAAUAUGCCAUAAAAUGAUGUAUUUUCUAUUCCAUUUUAAAUCAGUCUUUGAAAUAAUAUCAGCAAUGAAGACACUUUGUGAGUCAUUCUUUUGUUAUAAUAUGUAGCAAACACUAAAACUGGUUAAUACAUAAUAGUUAUGAUAUAUAUCCUUUACAAAUGAUGUAUAUGGCACAUGUAUGGCUUAAGCAUAUUUUUGCAAUAUUUGCAUAACUUAUUAUAAAUAGAAUUCUGUUUUCCUCCUAUAACAGUAGUAUCUAUACAUGUAUAACAUAAUUUUCAACAAUAGAAAACACAGGCUUUAUAUAAAUGUACCCUUACAUGUACAUGAUAUAUGUACAUUCCUAGUAUAUACUAGUUUUCUUAACCAACUUUUUAAUGACAGGUUUUAGAUAGUGACCAUGUUCACUUGAUAAAAGCUAUCAAAUAAAAUGUCCCCUAUGCUAAAUGAUGACUUUCUAUGAAACUUUAAUUGAAAGUGUUUAGAAAAAGCAAUAUUACAUGAGUUGUACAAGAUUUAGUCAUAAAACACAAAAUGAUAUAUGUCUUUCAAAUACCUGGAAUGGUUUUUUUUCUAAUUUCACUGCAAGAUUAAAAUCCUCAAGUCACACAUUCUGCAAGUUAAACAUGUUAAAAGUGGUACUAUAUUACCCCAAAAAAUGAAAAAAAUCAGUAAAACUGAAAUUGUAAAAAUUUUAUUUUGAUGCUGGAGGGACAAGAAUCUCCAAAAUAUAUUUUUAGCUUUUUUCCACAUGUUCCAUACAAAAUAUUUUCUGACCCAAAACAAAACCUUAGACGGAAAUAUUAAUGUCCUUAUCAAUCAUGUGUCAAUUAAAUGACAAUGUUAAUAACAACGCAAGGGUAUAUCCAUACCAUCAUACAACCAAAACGUCUAGUAGUACUUAAUUUAUAAAUGAGAUAAAAAAAAACACAGCAAUGAUUUUUUUAGGAAUGUUGAAAGCACACAACACAUCAGAUCUUUUCAAUAAAGUUGAGAAUGGAAAUGAGGAAUGUGACAAAGAGACAACAACCUGACCAUAGAACAGACAACAGCAGAAGGUCAUCAAUAGGUCUUCAAUGCAGCGAGAAACUCCCAAAACUCUGAGGCAUCCUUCAGCUGGCUCCUAAACAAAUAUCUAUACUAGUUCAGUGAUAAUACAUCAUACUAAAUUCUGAAUUAUACAAAAGAAAAGCUUAGAAAUGAAAAUAUCUAUAACAUGUAUAAAAAAAAUAUAUAAUAAUAAUAAUAUUCUUGACUCUAUCUUAUUUACACAAGAGGUCCAACAAGAGACCUAACAUCACAUAACAGUUACAGAAACUAAAGGAAAAUAAAAAUGGCCACACACCUUAAACAGAAUUUUUGUUUUAAAAAAUUGAAGAUUAAUGUUAUGCCAUAAUAUGAGAAUUGAUCACUUAGU
Molecule: long non-coding RNA, 2989 nt
Filed under: Mytilus galloprovincialis (Mediterranean mussel)
Lineage: Eukaryota; Metazoa; Mollusca; Bivalvia; Mytilida; Mytilidae
Source: RNAcentral